GAUCGAGUUGUAAUUUGAAGAAGCGUUUUCUGCGUAUUUGAUCAGCCUAAGUCCUAUUGAAUGAGGCAUCACGGAGGGUGAUAAUCCCGUCCGGUUGAUCAUUUGCGUUUUACGAUACGCUUUCUAAGAGUCAAGUUGUUUGGGAUUGCAGCUUAAAAUGGGAGGUAAAUUUCUCUAAGGCUAAAUAACGGCGAGAGACCGAUAGCGAACAAGUACC
Molecule: ribosomal RNA, 217 nt
Filed under: Rhizophagus intraradices
Lineage: Eukaryota; Fungi; Glomeromycota; Glomeromycetes; Glomerales; Glomeraceae
Description: partial 25S large subunit ribosomal RNA
Rfam family: Eukaryotic large subunit ribosomal RNA
Source: RNAcentral